This 255-nucleotide ribosomal RNA is filed under the name uncultured bacterium. RNAcentral's name for it is "partial 16S ribosomal RNA". It matches the Rfam family "Bacterial small subunit ribosomal RNA", at positions 524 to 776 of the family's 1533-position model. The record is from RNAcentral.
UACGGAAGGGGGCUAGCGUUGCUCGGAAUCACUGGGGCGUAAAGGGCGCGUAGGCGGCCGAUUAAGUCGGGGGUGAAAGCCUGUGGCUCAACCACAGAAUUGCCUUCGAUACUGGUUGGCUUGAGACCGGAAGAGGACAGCGGAACUGCGAGUGUAGAGGUGAAAUUCGUAGAUAUUCGCAAGAACACCAGUGGCGAAGGCGGCUGUCUGGUCCGGUUCUGACGCUGAGGCGCGAAAGCGUGGGGAGCAGACAGG